GACGAACGCUGGCGGCGUGCUUAACACAUGCAAGUCGAACGGAAAGGCCCUGCUUUUGUGGGGUGCUCGAGUGGCGAACGGGUGAGUAACACGUGAGUAACCUGCCCUUGACUUUGGGAUAACUUCAGGAAACUGGGGCUAAUACCGGAUAGGAGCUCCUGCUGCAUGGUGGGGGUUGGAAAGUUUCGGCGGUUGGGGUUGGACUCGCGGCUUAUCAGCUUGUUUGUGGGGUAGUGGCUUACCAAGGCUUUGACGGGUAGCCGGCCUGAGAGGGUGAGCGGCAACAUUGGGACUGAGAUACGGCCCAGACGCCUACGGGAGGCAGCAGUGGGGAAUAGUGCACAAUGGGCGGAAGCCUGAUGCAGCAACGCCGCGUGCGGGAUGACGGCCUUCGGGUUGUAAACCGCUUUCGCCUGUGACGAAGCGUGAGUGACGGUAAUGGGUAAAGAAGCACCGGCUAACUACGUG
RNAcentral lists this ribosomal RNA (468 nucleotides) under uncultured bacterium. RNAcentral describes it as "partial 16S ribosomal RNA". It matches the Rfam family "Bacterial small subunit ribosomal RNA", at positions 28 to 507 of the family's 1533-position model. The record is from RNAcentral.